CCUUAGUAACGGCGAGUGAAGCGGCAAAAGCUCAAAUUUGAAAUCUGGCACCUUCGGUGUCCGAGUUGUAAUUUGAAGAAGGUAACUUUGGAGUUGGCUCUUGUCUAUGUUCCUUGGAACAGGACGUCACAGAGGGUGAGAAUCCCGUGCGAUGAGAUGCCCAAUUCUAUGUAAAGUGCUUUCGAAGAGUCGAGUUGUUUGGGAAUGCAGCUCUAAGUGGGUGGUAAAUUCCAUCUAAAGCUAAAUAUUGGCGAGAGACCGAUAGCGAACAAGUACAGUGAUGGAAAGAUGAAAAGAACUUUGAAAAGAGAGUGAAAAAGUACGUGAAAUUGUUGAAAGGGAAGGGCUUGAGAUCAGACUUGGUAUUUUGCGAUCCUUUCCUUCUUGGUUGGGUUCCUCGCAGCUUACUGGGCCAGCAUCGGUUUGGAUGGUAGGAUAAUGACUAAGGAAUGUGGCUCUACUUCGGUGGAGUGUUAUAGCCUUGGUUGAUACUGCCUGUCUAGACCGAGGACUGCGUCUUUGACUAGGA
RNAcentral lists this ribosomal RNA (529 nucleotides) under Debaryomyces prosopidis. RNAcentral's name for it is "partial large subunit ribosomal RNA". It matches the Rfam family "Eukaryotic large subunit ribosomal RNA", at positions 78 to 612 of the family's 3401-position model. Lineage: Eukaryota; Fungi; Ascomycota; Pichiomycetes; Serinales; Debaryomycetaceae. The record is from RNAcentral.